CGCGUAGGCGGCUUUAUAAGUCUGGAGUGAAAGUCCUCUUUUCAAGGGAGGAAUUGCUUUGGAAACUAUAGAGCUUGAGUGCAGGAGAGGUUAUCGGAAUUCCCGGUGUAGCGGUGAAAUGCGUAGAUAUCGGGAGGAACAUCGGUGGCGAAGGCAGCUUCCUGGCAUAAUAUUGACACUGAGAUUCGAAAGCGUGGGUAGCAAACA
RNAcentral lists this ribosomal RNA (207 nucleotides) under uncultured bacterium. RNAcentral describes it as "partial 16S ribosomal RNA". It matches the Rfam family "Bacterial small subunit ribosomal RNA", at positions 568 to 774 of the family's 1533-position model. The record is from RNAcentral.